GGACUACUAGGGUUUCUAAUCCUGUUUGCUCCCCACGCUUUCGCACCUCAGCGUCAGUAUUGGCCCAGGUCGCCGCCUUCGCCACUGGUGUUCCUCCCGAUAUCUACGAAUUUCACCUCUACACCGGGAAUUCCGCGACCCUCUUCCAUACUCAAGCCAUUCAGUUUCGAGUGCUCUUCCUGGGUUGAGCCCAGGGCUUUCACACCCGACUUAGAUGACCGCCUACGUGCGCUUUACGCCCAAUGAUUCCGAGCAACGUUUGCACCCUCCGUAUUACCGCGGCUGCUGGCAC
Molecule: ribosomal RNA, 292 nt
Filed under: uncultured bacterium
Lineage: Bacteria
Description: partial 16S ribosomal RNA
Source: RNAcentral